AUGGAACUGAGGGGGCUGUGAUUUGAAUAAUUGCUUAUAGAAAAUCGAAUUUAAUUGCAAAAAAAAUGGAAUUUUUAAUCGAACAAGGCAAGCAACUACAUCAAGAUUGCUCUACUCUUCUACUGCCUGCAUUAUCGAUAGGGAAUGUGGGGCAGCUAGCUGUUGAUCUCUUGGUAUCUUCGACGAAGGCGGAGAGGAUUGGGUAUUUGGACGAUCCCUACAUUCUUCCUUGCGUUGGAAACGAUGCCUAUGGACCCAUUCCUUGCGGCGACCUUGCUCUGCCUCUUGAAGCAUAUGACUCACCUGCAAGUGCACUGACUCUUAUUCAACAGCGAUCCCCCGUUGUUCAGGGGAUGAUGAUUGAAUUUGCUAAGAACUUGGCAGAUUUUGCAGUUGCUAGCGGAAAGAAACACAUUGUUGUGCUUUCUGGCUUAGACUUUGGGAGAUGGCAAAGAAUUGAUAUGUCAAGUGGUUUACAGACAUAUUAUCUAUCUAGUACCAAUAAUGAUGGAACAGAUGAGUAUUGUGAACAACUCGGCUGGAAGAGAUUGCAGGAAUAUAAUCCUGCACAGAGGUCUUGGAAAUAUCUUAGUGCUUUAGCUGAAGGAAAUGCAUUGGAAGAAAACAGAUUGCCUUUUGAAGAUGAACUAGGAGAAGAAGAUUACUAUCCAAGUUUGCCUUUUGCCGCUCUCUUUUCUUGUUUUAAGGCAAAAGGUUUAAAAGUUACUUGCUUAUUAUGUUACUGCUCUGAAGGGGACAACAUGCCUGAUGCUUUUCAUGUGGCUGAGGCUGCAUGCAAACUCUUGGGGCUGUCUCCAGAUAAUUUCCAUGGUGAUGAGGGUGUUAAAUGGCUAACCCCAUUUUCAUGGAAGACAGUAUAUGGACCACCCCCAGAUAUGUCUAUGUUUUAGCCUGGGAUUAACCAAACCUGAGUUACAUCAUGGGUUGAUACUUCGAACUGUACAUUCAUCCUGUGAUUUUAAUGGUU
RNAcentral lists this unclassified non-coding RNA (988 nucleotides) under Hevea brasiliensis (rubber tree). The record is from RNAcentral. Lineage: Eukaryota; Viridiplantae; Streptophyta; Magnoliopsida; Malpighiales; Euphorbiaceae.